CGUCGGCUUCCCCGCGACGGUUAGCUGUGAACCCCGUCAGGCCCGGAAGGGAGCAGCGGUAGUAGUGAUACCGGGUGCCGGGGAACAGCUGGCGCGA
This 97-nucleotide signal recognition particle RNA is filed under the name Woeseiaceae bacterium. Its description in RNAcentral is "signal recognition particle sRNA small type". It matches the Rfam family "Bacterial small signal recognition particle RNA". From Rfam's summary of the family: The signal recognition particle (SRP) is a universally conserved ribonucleoprotein involved in the co-translational targeting of proteins to membranes. Archaeal SRP consists of a 7S RNA and homologues of the eukaryotic SRP19 and SRP54 proteins. In most bacteria, the SRP consists of a 4.5S RNA and the Ffh protein (a homologue of the eukaryotic SRP54 protein). The record is from RNAcentral. Lineage: Bacteria; Pseudomonadati; Pseudomonadota; Gammaproteobacteria; Woeseiales; Woeseiaceae.